ACUAUUUUGGCAGAAAAGAUGUAAUGAUUUUAGAAGUCAUGAAUAUAUAUGUAUAGUAUAUAUAUAGUA
This 69-nucleotide transfer RNA is filed under the name Megathymus violae. RNAcentral's name for it is "tRNA-Leu". Lineage: Eukaryota; Metazoa; Arthropoda; Insecta; Lepidoptera; Hesperiidae. The record is from RNAcentral.